AUUAAAUUUUAAUAUUAAAUUUUAUAUAAAUUUUAUAAAAGUAAAUGCAUAUAAAAAUUGUCUAGAAGUGUUUAUAUUAUUUAGUAUUAAAUAUUUUCAAAAAAAAGAAAUUUUUUUAAGUUUUUUAUUUUCAAAUAAAUGUGCCAGCAGUUUCGGUUAAACAUUAAAUUUUUUUAUAAUUUUAUAAUACUUUAUUAAUUUUUAAUAACUUUUUAUUUAGAAUAAUUAUUUAAUUUUUAGGUUAAAUUAAUUAUUAAAUUAUUAAUUUCUUUUUUAAAAAUAAAAAAAAGUAGAAAAAAACAGGAUUAGAUACCCUAUUAUUACUUUUAAUUUACACUAAAAAUAUUAAAAUUUAAAUAUUUAAAUUUUAAAUAAAUGGCGGCACAAUAACUAAAUUAGGGAAUUUUGUUUAUAUUAAUAGAUUUUACACAUUAAACCUUAUUUUAUUUUUUGCUUAUUUAUUUCCGUUUUAGAAUCAAUAUAAAAAUUGAUUUAAAAUAAUUAUUUAUUUUUAAUUCAGGUCAAUAUGUAGCUUAUAAUAAAAAUUAAAUGAAAUACACUUAAUAAAUAAAAAUUUAUAAGUUAAUUAAAAAUUUACUUAAUAAAAAGAACUUAAAAGUAAAAAAAUAUAGAAAAAUUUUUUGAAUUAGAAAUUUUGUGUGUACAAAUCGCCCGUCACUCUUAUAAAUUAGAUAAGUCGUAACAUAGUAAAUGUAUUGGAAAAUGUAUUUAGAACGUAAUAUAAAGUUUA
This 751-nucleotide ribosomal RNA is filed under the name Haplothrips aculeatus. Its description in RNAcentral is "12S ribosomal RNA". Lineage: Eukaryota; Metazoa; Arthropoda; Insecta; Thysanoptera; Phlaeothripidae. The record is from RNAcentral.